Molecule: long non-coding RNA, 681 nt
Organism: Symphalangus syndactylus (siamang)
Lineage: Eukaryota; Metazoa; Chordata; Mammalia; Primates; Hylobatidae
Source: RefSeq, a predicted model, not a curated record
GGCAGCAGCCGGAGAAGGGGGGCGGCGGCUGGGGCCCCGGAAACGGCCCGAUCGCCGGGAUCCGGGCCGGACUCCGUACCUGGGCUGGAGGCGAGGCGGAGAUGGGCGGUCGGGAUCCGCGAAUAAAUUUUCCAUUACGAAUACAACUAACUGAGCCUGACUUGUUGAAAUAUAUUCUCCUGAAAACCAUGAUAAAAGCCUCCCUUACAGCUGGGAACCAUGUGACGCUCUUGCAGCAAUGAGACAUCCACACAAUGCCUCGAACGUGGACAAGGUUGGAACAAUAGCAACUUACAACCAUGAGGCAAAGACUCAACAACAUCGCAGAGACAUCAACCCAACAUUGCAAACGGUACCAGUGGCGGCUCCUCCAUUCUUCUUGUUUUAGGAGUAAAAUAACUUCAUGUUUUGCUAUAGUCAACUGCGUUUGGGGGCCUGUAGUCAAAAGCAUUCCUGACUUAUUCACAUGGCUCCUGUCUGCGGGUGGACUAGAUGGCAAGGAUCCCCCACUCCUAUGUGGCCUUUUCUCUUUCAAGAGGACACAGGAGCCUCUUGACUCUUUGAAGAGGACACAGGGGUGCUACGUCCAGGCACCUGCCGUGCGUACUGUGGUGCCUGGGGAGCAGACGAGCAUUUAGUUCCCUCACUUGUGGACUCUGAAGGAGGGAAAACUGUCACGGC